UACGUCGGGGGCAAGCGUUGUCCGGAAUUAUUGGGCGUAAAGAGCGCGUAGGCGGUCCGAUAAGUCGGCUGUGAAAGUCAGGGGCUCAACCCUUGAAAGCCGGCCGAUACUGUCGGACUAGAGUCCGGAAGAGGCAAGUGGAAUUCCCGGUGUAGCGGUGAAAUGCGCAGAUAUCGGGAGGAACACCAAUGGCGAAGGCAGCUUGCUGGGACGGUACUGACGCUGAGGCGCGAAAGCGUGGGGAGCAAACAGG
Molecule: ribosomal RNA, 253 nt
Filed under: uncultured bacterium
Lineage: Bacteria
Description: partial 16S ribosomal RNA
Rfam family: Bacterial small subunit ribosomal RNA
Source: RNAcentral